This 159-nucleotide long non-coding RNA is filed under the name Columba livia (rock pigeon). RNAcentral describes it as "partial uncharacterized LOC102098268". Lineage: Eukaryota; Metazoa; Chordata; Aves; Columbiformes; Columbidae. The record is from RNAcentral.
CGUCGCCAUCGCCGCAAACGAGGCGCGGGCGGGGGGGCAGCGUAUCCUCCUGGUCGACUGGUGCUCCCGGCCCAGCUGGACCCUCCCCCGGCUCUUCCAGGACGACCCCGGGGUUCUGUAUUUUGGGGUUCACGGAGGCCCCGCCCCCCCCGACCCACC